Molecule: transfer RNA, 83 nt
Filed under: Homoserinibacter gongjuensis
Lineage: Bacteria; Bacillati; Actinomycetota; Actinomycetes; Micrococcales; Microbacteriaceae
Description: tRNA-Gly
Source: RNAcentral
CAUGAGUUGCGCCGAACUGUUGCGGGCGGGGGCCGGUUUCCGUCUCGCCGAGGUGGAUCCGGAUGCGACUCCCGGUUUCGCGG